This is a long non-coding RNA of Poecilia latipinna (sailfin molly), 455 nucleotides long. RefSeq lists it as uncharacterized. The transcript has 3 exons. Lineage: Eukaryota; Metazoa; Chordata; Actinopteri; Cyprinodontiformes; Poeciliidae. The record is from RefSeq and is a predicted model, not a curated record.
GUAAAUCUGACGCACAUAAAACACCAAACAACAGCGAUGGGCGACAAAGCGGAUCCUCUCGGCCCGCCGGAAAGAAAAGAAAAGAUGUCACCAACCCAGGGAGAUCAGAGCAGACGCAAACUGAGCCUCCAUUUGGGCUGAUGGCAGGCCUAUUAAAUGCGCGCAUCCACAGCGGUUUCUUUCUAGUGACCUGAAGCAGUGGAAACUGUGAGCCAUAAAACUGUCCACAGAAAGCAGCUUUACUCAGGCUGAACGAUGCAUUUGAUCCCAGAGAGACGAAGGUAAAAAGGUUGCUGCGCUCGGAUUGCUCGAACAUGAGAGGAGUGAUUUAUGGGCCAGAACCGGGAUGUGGACUUCCACAGAAAUACAGUGAAGUUCCUGACUCAUGAGGGAGACGCUUUGGGAUGGCUGAACGCUGCAUGAACCGCAAAAUUAAAAAAUAAGAAUAAAGAUGA